Molecule: non-coding RNA, 44 nt
Filed under: Trichobilharzia regenti
Lineage: Eukaryota; Metazoa; Platyhelminthes; Trematoda; Strigeidida; Schistosomatidae
Source: RNAcentral
AUCCAGUGACGACUCCCAAAUAGGACGAAAUGCGCAUCCUGGAU